Long non-coding RNA from Mauremys mutica (yellowpond turtle), 788 nucleotides. RefSeq lists it as uncharacterized. The record is from RefSeq and is a predicted model, not a curated record. Lineage: Eukaryota; Metazoa; Chordata; Testudines; Geoemydidae. The transcript has 4 exons.
GUGAGUCAAUUGCAGAGGUGGCGACAGGUGAGGCAUUGCUUGAUGCCUUUCCCCACCCUUGGGGUGAGAGGUGAACUUAUUUGAACACACCUCUGAACCCUGGAUCUCUGCUGACCAAGGACAAUAACUGUGAGUGAGGUGCAGGGAAGGAAGAGGGGAGUGGUUUGUUUGUUGGACUUUCACACCGCAAGGAAGGGAGCAGCCCUGGUUCUGGAAACAACCAACACCAGUUGCUUUCUGUUACACUAAUGGAAAGUAACAUACAUAAUAAACGGGAGACAGAUCCCAUGGUACAUCAAGAAACUACUGCUCGAGGGGAAAAAUAUAUUAUCUUCAGCCAACCAAGCUUCUGUCUCACAUAAUAGAUGGGCGUAAAGAUGAGAACAAAACAAUAGCAGAAAGGAAGGCAGACACUGUUGAUGACAAACAGACCAAUGAAAAUACUGCAGAAGUCAUCGUCAUUGAUACAGAAAGGAGAAGCUUGUCAAGAGCGCUUUUCACAGAGUAAGCCACUGUCCCUGAAGAGAUUUUAAGGGAUAAGGAAGGCACUUGAAGGAGAGAGUGCAUAACAGCUGCUAGAGCAGGAGCUAGUCAUGUGAUCAUGCCUAUGAAUGAGAUGAGGAAAUGAAACCAUCUGUCCACAGAGCCCUGUCCAGUGCAAAAAGCAAACAAACUGAAGAGAGAGGAAAAAAUAAUCAUUGCCUAAUCCCUCUCUAAUGUUCAGUGAUCUGUGCAGUUACUUGUGAAACUUCUGCAAUAUGGCCAAUCCCAAACAUCCAAAAUGAGUA